GACGAACGCUGGCGGCGUGCCUAAUACAUGCAAGUAGAACGCUGAAGAGAGGAGCUUGCUCUUCUUGGAUGAGUUGCGAACGGGUGAGUAACGCGUAGGUAACCUGCCUUGUAGCGGGGGAUAACUAUUGGAAACGAUAGCUAAUACCGCAUAACAAUGGAUGACACAUGUCAUUUAUUUGAAAGGGGCAAAUGCUCCACUACAAGAUGGACCUGCGUUGUAUUAGCUAGUAGGUGAGGUAACGGCUCACCUAGGCGACGAUACAUAGCCGACCUGAGAGGGUGAUCGGCCACACUGGGACUGAGACACGGCCCAGACUCCUACGGGAGGCAGCAGUAGGGAAUCUUCGGCAAUGGGGGCAACCCUGACCGAGCAACGCCGCGUGAGUGAAGAAGGUUUUCGGAUCGUAAAGCUCUGUUGUAAGUCAAGAACGAGUGUGAGAGUGGAAAGUUCACACUGUGACGGUAGCUUACCAGAAAGGGACGGCUAACUACGUGCCAGCAGCCGCGGUAAUACGUAGGUCCCGAGCGUUGUCCGGAUUUAUUGGGCGUAAAGCGAGCGCAGCGGUUUGAUAAGUCUGAAGUUAAAGGCUGUGGCUCAACCAUAGUUCGCUUUGGAAACUGUCAAACUUGAGUGCAGAAGGGGAGAGUGGAAUUCCAUGUGUAGCGGUGAAAUGCGUAGAUAUAUGGAGGAACACCGGUGGCGAAAGCGGCUCUCUGGUCUGUAACUGACGCUGAGGCUCGAAAGCGUGGGGAGCGAACAGGAUUAGAUACCCUGGUAGUCCACGCCGUAAACGAUGAGUGCUAGGUGUUGGAUCCUUUCCGGGAUUCAGUGCCGCAGCUAACGCAUUAAGCACCCCGCCUGGGGAGUACGACCGCAAGGUUGAAACUCAAAGGAAUUGACGGGGGCCCGCACAAGCGGUGGAGCAUGUGGUUUAAUUCGAAGCAACGCGAAGAACCUUACCAGGUCUUGACAUCCCGAUGCUAUUUCUAGAGAUAGAAAGUUACUUCGGUACAUCGGUGACAGGUGGUGCAUGGUUGUCGUCAGCCCGUGUCGUGAGAUGUUGGGUUAAGUCCCGCAACGAGCGCAACCCCUAUUGUUAGUUGCCAUCAUUCAGUUGGGCACUCUAGCGAGACUGCCGGUAAUAAACCGGAGGAAGGUGGGGAUGACGUCAAAUCAUCAUGCCCCUUAUGACCUGGGCUACACACGUGCUACAAUGGUUGGUACAACGAGUUGCGAGUCGGUGACGGCAAGCUAAUCUCUUAAAGCCAAUCUCAGUUCGGAUUGUAGGCUGCAACUCGCCUACAUGAAGUCGGAAUCGCUAGUAAUCGCGGAUCAGCACGCCGCGGUGAAUACGUUCCCGGGCCU
Molecule: ribosomal RNA, 1368 nt
Filed under: uncultured bacterium
Lineage: Bacteria
Description: bacterial SSU rRNA
Rfam family: Bacterial small subunit ribosomal RNA
Source: RNAcentral